Canis lupus familiaris (dog) is the source of this 1572-nucleotide long non-coding RNA. RefSeq lists it as uncharacterized. The transcript has 10 exons. NCBI's taxonomy places the organism in Eukaryota, Metazoa, Chordata, Mammalia, Carnivora, Canidae. The record is from RefSeq and is a predicted model, not a curated record.
UAUCUUUCAAGAAGAAGUGACAUUGGAUAGGCUGGACUAUAAAACUGCUGGCAAGAAGAAAACAUUAGCGGUUGCUAAUAAAAUAGCAUAAAAUCCUACAAUGAAAACUUGAAAAGAAAAAAUGUGCCAGGCCUACCCUCCUCGAGGGGCCUUAAGACACCCUUGACGAGCUGACUCACUGUAGCCCAAACUUCAGUGGGAACUCCAGAUCACAAGAUAUUCAGAAUUGAAAUGGAUGCCAAGUAUACAGGAUUUUUCUGCUUUCAUCUUUGCAUUUCAGUCUCUACUAACAUGACAUUCAUCAUCAUUUGGGAUGAAAAACUUCAGUGAGGAUCAAAAUGGAGACAGAUAGUCACUGUGGAAAAUUAAAUCAGUGUGGUGGAAGAUGGAGGAAAGAUACUUUUCCAUUCUCAGAAGCAAAGAACAAAGACGAGAAAUUUGUAGGUGAAUUGCUAUUUUACAGAAGUGUUCAGCCUUCCCCUGAAGGCAGGAGUUGAGUUGAGGAACAGGAUGAAGAAGAGAAAGCCUCUGACUUUUUGAAGACUUCAACCAACGAAAGACAACAUUGCAAGCUGCAAAAUAAAAUACGUGUGUUUAUUUGGGGUCUUAGGUAAUAUAUACAUGUGAUAGAAAAUUGAAGAUACCGAAGGGUGUGUACUAAGAAACAAGCCUCUCUGAACUCUGUCUAUAGGGGAUGCACUUCACUUUCAGACCUCGAUCUCAAAAAUACUCAUCUGGACAAAGAUGGUUGCAUAGAUGGUCAUUUGGUAAGAGAUUAUUGGAAGACAUUGCUGCUCUGUGAAUCUGGGAUCCCGCUUUUCCUGAACAGAACAAUUGAUAGCAACGAAGCUUCCUUCACACUGAAGACCAGCUCCAGGCAGGAAGAAAUGAAGCACUCCAGGAUUCAGGGGAUAUGUCCGAUGUCUCCAUAAACACCUGUUACUGUUCUCAGUUUACCUGGUCCCUAAGAAACCAUCCUAAUGGGACUUCAUUCGUUACUGAUGUACAUACAGAAUUCAACACCUGCAGCCAGCCUGAAGACUUCAGGGUUGCAACACUGUGCUUUACCACCUAGUUCCCUGCCAGGAAUGUAGCUCUUAGCAAGAGCUUGUUAUCAUGAUUGUUACUAUUACUGAAGAAAUAAUGAAUCUUUACUGGUGGUUGUGGGGACUCAUUCUUCCUCUUUGCUAACCUCUAUUCGUGCCUCAAAUGGAAGAGAUGACUAAGUUUACUCUCCCAAAUGAAGAGGAGGCUGUUUUUACAUAUCUUAUGCUUAGGUCCUGCUGGAGUCAAUUUGCUUAUCCCCUCAUCAAUACCCAAAGCCAAAGAUAGGACAUGUCUUACUUAUAAUAAAGCCACCACACAAUACUUGCAUAUGUUCCUGUGGUUGACCGUUUAGUAUAUCAACACUUGAAUACUCUUCAGUGUUUGGCUCUUUGCAAUUCGGGGUGUUUUUCUCAGGGUCUGACACACACAGUUAAAUGGUUAAAUAUCUACUCUGCUGCAUUUCUACUAAAAAGAACUAAUGUUUGGCUUGUUUCUAAUAUAACUCAUUAUCGACACCAUCUAGGA